UACGGAGGGUGCAAGCGUUGUUCGGAAUUAUUGGGCGUAAAGAGCUCGUAGGCGGUUCGGCAAGUCGGGUGUGAAAACUUUGGGCUCAACCCAAAGCCUGCACUCGAUACUGCUGUGACUUGAGUCCGGUAGGGGAGUGGGGAAUUCCUGGUGUAGCGGUGGAAUGCGCAGAUAUCAGGAGGAACACCGGUGGCGAAGGCGCUACUCUGGGCCGGUACUGACGCUGAGGAGCGAAAGCGUGGGGAGCGAACAGG
RNAcentral lists this ribosomal RNA (254 nucleotides) under uncultured bacterium. Its description in RNAcentral is "partial 16S ribosomal RNA". It matches the Rfam family "Bacterial small subunit ribosomal RNA", at positions 524 to 776 of the family's 1533-position model. The record is from RNAcentral.